Molecule: small nucleolar RNA, 103 nt
Organism: Hanseniaspora valbyensis NRRL Y-1626
Lineage: Eukaryota; Fungi; Ascomycota; Saccharomycetes; Saccharomycodales; Saccharomycodaceae
Source: Rfam
AGGAUUGAUGAUUUUCUUAUAUUCACACUGUAUAAGGUAUUUGGUUUAAUUACCGGUAUCAAUGAACACAUUUUACGAAAAAACUGAUUUAAUGACUCUGACC